RNAcentral lists this ribosomal RNA (245 nucleotides) under uncultured bacterium. RNAcentral describes it as "partial 16S ribosomal RNA". It matches the Rfam family "Bacterial small subunit ribosomal RNA", at positions 118 to 347 of the family's 1533-position model. The record is from RNAcentral.
UGGGUAACCUGCCUCAAAGAGGGGAAUAGCCUCCCGAAAGGGAGAUUAAUACCGCAUAAUAUGUUUAAGUCGCAUGACUUUAACAUCAAAGGAUUUUCUUUUAGAAAUUCCACUUUGAGAUGGACCCGCGGCGCAUUAGCUAGUUGGUGAGGUAACGGCUCACCAAGGCAACGAUGCGUAGCCGACCUGAGAGGGUGAUCGGCCACAUUGGAACCGAGACACGGUCCAGACUCCUACGGGAGCAG